This 238-nucleotide ribosomal RNA is filed under the name Clostridioides difficile. RNAcentral's name for it is "partial 23S ribosomal RNA". It matches the Rfam family "Bacterial large subunit ribosomal RNA", at positions 1842 to 2079 of the family's 2925-position model. Lineage: Bacteria; Bacillati; Bacillota; Clostridia; Peptostreptococcales; Peptostreptococcaceae. The record is from RNAcentral.
UGUAUAGGAGCUGACGCCUGCCCGGUGCUGGAAGGUUAAGGGGAUCUGUUAGAGCAAUCGAAGCAGUGACCUUAAGCCCCAGUAAACGGCGGCCGUAACUAUAACGGUCCUAAGGUAGCGAAAUUCCUUGUCGGGUAAGUUCCGCCCCGCACGAAAGGCGUAACGAUUUGGGCACUGUCUCAACAACAGACUCGGUGAAAUUGUAAUUCCGGUGAAGAUGCCGGAUACCUGCGACAGG